GUCUAAAAGUCUAUGAGUAGCUUUUCAUUAAUAUAUAUAUAUAUAUAUAUAUAUAUAUAUAUUUUAGUGUGGCAUCUUAUUUGUCAUUGCUGAUGCAGGCUCCUGCAAGUGGCAUUUUGGGGAUCCAGCUGGGAUCAACCCCAUCCCUAGAGAGAUCAGGUGUCAUUUUAUGGUUCUGCCAAGAAAAACAUUUUCAAUAACAGCCUGGCCUCUGUGGGAACUUUGCCAGCAGGGGCUGUCAUGAAGAUAUUUAGAUGUUGUGCAUUUCAUCCCCAUCAUGUUCAUGAUCUCCUUGCUGAUUUGCCUUGGGCUGGUUUCUCUCUUGAAAAGGCACCUGUUUUCCUUCAUUUCAGUGCUUUCCAAUUUGUUUCUGCUUGAAAGUACUAGUCUAUAGUUUAGAGCAAAGUGAAUAGCUAAUAUACAUUUAGUUUUGCUGGAAGAACAAGUAUUUUUUUGUUUGAUUUUUACUUGACCUAAGAUAAACCAUUUUACUUUGGAAAUAUAUAUAUUCCAAAGUGUAGUGCCUUUAUUUAUUUCAUUCUUUAUUAAAAAAAAAAAUAAAAUCUGAAGGUUUAAAAAAGUGACUUUUGUUUUUUUCUGUUGUUGUUGUUUGUUUUUUUUGGUAGUCUUUCUCUCUCAUUCUCUUUCUCUCUUUUCAGAACUAUUCAAUAAUUCAACACGAACUUGCACAUACUAUAAUUAAUUAAAGUCUUAAUUUCUGAUGAACAGAGGAUCUGUCAUCAUGACAUCCUUCCAUAUGAACAUGAACAUUACAUCCUUCCAUAUGAAGAUUUCAUGUUAGAGAGCCUGACUUGAUUGAUUGUUCUUUUUGAUUGUCAUGGUGUCUGAUAACUUUGGCUAGGAUUCUUUCUGCUUGCCUGAAGAGAAAUAAAAAGUAUUGGGCUUUUGGGCCUAGAGUUACUUUACAUGUCAGACCUUCUGGUGUGACAGUAUGCCAUACUCCAGAACACAUGCCUAUUCUUUACCAAUUUUCUUAGUAGAAAUGGUAAGAAAAGGCUAGAAAAGGCUAAUGGUAAAAAACUUUUAACCCGGGGGGGUUGCAACUUUAGACACUACUCCUAAUUGCUUUAUUUUCAUUGUGCUUAUAUUCUGUAAAUUUUCUGGAUAUUCAGAUUUUCUACAGGACUUUGAAUAGAUAUAUCUUCCAAAAAGAUCGAUGCAGGGCUCAGAGGAAGGAUCCAUGGUGUUUCCAACAAACAGUUCUCAUUACAGCUUCCACUUUUGGAGGCAGCAUCUGGUUCUGGAUUGCACUCUGUUCAGCCUGCCAAAUUAAUACAAUGAACACUUCCAUUGCUGACAGCUGACAUGGUCCUGGCACAAGUAGCGCAGGCACUCUGGAGUCCAUUGUCUCUUGAAAUGGCUGUGACUACAACAUUAGCAUCAAUGAGAACUGAGAUUCAGAAUUUUCAUAAGGCUCAGCCAAGGAAUACAAAAGAGGUGGUAUUGUGAUUAAACUACAAAAAAGUCACAAAACGUGACAGGAAAAAGGAGCCAGUACUAGCUUCUGCAGUAUUUUCUCUGAUGAUUUGUUAACUGAAUGAGGCUAGAAAUUUAGCUAUCUAUGCAAAGCUGAAAUUUCAA
This is a non-coding RNA of Anas platyrhynchos (mallard), 1602 nucleotides long. NCBI's taxonomy places the organism in Eukaryota, Metazoa, Chordata, Aves, Anseriformes, Anatidae. The record is from RefSeq and is a predicted model, not a curated record.